This 27-nucleotide ribosomal RNA is filed under the name Verticillium dahliae. RNAcentral describes it as "partial 28S ribosomal RNA". Lineage: Eukaryota; Fungi; Ascomycota; Sordariomycetes; Glomerellales; Plectosphaerellaceae. The record is from RNAcentral.
GAGGGUAGCCCUACUUCGCCUCGAUUU